GACGAACGCUGGCGGCGUGCUUAACACAUGCCAGUCGAACGGGCCUUGUCCCCUUUUUUUUUGGGGGUGGGGUUAGUGGCGAACGGGUGAGUAACACGUGAGUAACCUGCCCCUCACUUCUGGAUAACCGCUUGAAAGGGUGGCUAAUACGGGGUGUUCUGGCCUGCUCGCAUGGGUGGGUUUGGAAAGAUUCGACCGGUUUGGUUGUUUUGGUGGGGGAUGGGCUCGCGGCCUAUCAGCUUGUUGGUGGGGGGAUGGCCUGCCAAGGCUUUGACGGGUAGCCGGCCUGGGAGGGUGGGCGGUCACACUGGGACUGAGACACGGCCCAGACUCCUACGGGAGGCAGCAGUGGGGAAUAUUGCACAAUGGGCGCAAGCCUGAUGCAGCGACGCCGCGUGAGGGAUGGAGGCCUUCGGGUUGUGAACCUCUUUCGCCAGUGAAGAAGGUCCUGCUCUUUGUGGUGGGGUUGACGGUAGCUGGGUUAAUGAAGCGCCGGCUAACUACGUG
RNAcentral lists this ribosomal RNA (507 nucleotides) under uncultured bacterium. RNAcentral describes it as "partial 16S ribosomal RNA". It matches the Rfam family "Bacterial small subunit ribosomal RNA", at positions 28 to 507 of the family's 1533-position model. The record is from RNAcentral.